Cydia splendana is the source of this 197-nucleotide long non-coding RNA. RefSeq lists it as uncharacterized. The transcript is spliced from 4 exons. NCBI's taxonomy places the organism in Eukaryota, Metazoa, Arthropoda, Insecta, Lepidoptera, Tortricidae. The record is from RefSeq and is a predicted model, not a curated record.
AAUUACCAAUCUUGAAGACUUUCUAUAGUGACUUCAUCGAUUCGAAUCCGGAUUUUUGACAAAGAUGCAGCAGCUAAGAUGUCUUUUCGUACUACUUCUAGCAAUAUUGGCCACCACAGUGAUGUGUUACCCUGGCAAGGAAAUUCUGCGACAGGGCUCGGAUCCACCUACGGUAAGUGGUUAGGUGAUAGUGAUGG